Molecule: ribosomal RNA, 253 nt
Filed under: uncultured bacterium
Lineage: Bacteria
Description: partial 16S ribosomal RNA
Rfam family: Archaeal small subunit ribosomal RNA
Source: RNAcentral
UACCAGCACCCCGAGUGGUCGGGACGUUUAUUGGGCCUAAAGCAUCCGUAGCCGGUUCUACAAGUCUUCCGUUAAAUCCAACUGCUUAACAGGUGGGCCGCGGAAGAUACUAUAGAGCUAGGAGGCGGGAGAGGCAAGCGGUACUCGAUGGGUAGGGGUAAAAUCCGUUGAUCCAUUGAAGACCACCAGUGGCGAAGGCGGCUUGCCAGAACGCGCUCGACGGUGAGGGAUGAAAGCUGGGGGAGCAAACCGG